RNAcentral lists this ribosomal RNA (460 nucleotides) under uncultured bacterium. Its description in RNAcentral is "partial 16S ribosomal RNA". It matches the Rfam family "Bacterial small subunit ribosomal RNA", at positions 338 to 795 of the family's 1533-position model. The record is from RNAcentral.
CCUACGGGUGGCAGCAGUGAGGAAUAUUGGUCAAUGGACGCGAGCCUGAACCAGCCAAGUCGCGUGAAGGAUGACUGCCCUACGGGUUGUAAACUUCUUUUGUACAAGAGUAAAGGCAGACACGUGUGCCUUUCUGAAAGUACCUUAUGAAUAAGGAUCGGCUAACUCCGUGCCAGCAGCCGCGGUAAUACGGAGGAUCGGAGCGUUAUCCGGAUUUAUUGGGUUUAAAGGGAGCGUAGAUGGGUGGUUAAGUCAGUUGUGAAAUUUUGAGGCUCAACCGUAAAAUUGCAAUUGAUACUGGUAGUCUUGAGUAUAGUUGAGGUAGGCGGAAUGCGUGGUGUAGCGGUGAAAUGCUUAGAUAUCACGAAGAACUCCGAUUGCGAAGGCAGCUUACCAAGCUGCUACUGACAUUGAUGCACGAAAGUGUGGGUAGCAAACAGGAUUAGAUACCCUAGUAGUC